ACAUAUACAACAUAAUAGAGAUCAGAGAUCACUUCUAAAAUAUGACUCGAAAGGGCUUUGUUUCUGGAUUAAGGGCCUUACAAUAAGGUUUUCUUCUUCGGUCUUCCUUCUUCAGGCAACAUGGAUAGCCUUAACUCUUACUAUCAAGGAAGAUACUUUUAUAUGGAGGUCAACCCCGAUUUAGAGAUGGGUGAAAUUCCUUCGACAUUCUAUAGGAGAUUUAAAGAUGCACUACCAAAGUUGAUGACAUUUUAUGAUUCUGCUGGCAAUGAAGUUGAUGUGGUCAUUGAGAAAUGCCAUCGAACUGCUAUAAUUAUUAUCGGCUACAAUAACCUUGCUGCGAUUUAUGGCCUCAAAGAUGGGGUUGGUUGAGUGUCUGUUACGUUGGCCGAGACAAAUUUCUCAUUGUUGAAGUGAAGGACCACAACAUGCGGACCAAAGAGCUGUGCUACCCACCGUUAAAGCUAAGUGUGGACAUCAAACCAUCAAUACCUCUUCCAGGAAUCAUAGAACUAUCUGAAGAUGAGCCUAAUGCAACUCCGCCGCUUGAAACUACUGAACCUGUCCAAGUUUCACAAAUAGUGUAUCAACAACCUGAUGAAGAUGUGAAUAAUUCCAAGUGGGAUGAUGCCACUGACCAACUCCAACAUCUCCCAGAAUCUGUGUUCAAUCUGUUGACCUGCAUUGACCCUCCCACAUUUUAUGGUCUUGAACCUUACGUUAAUCAGCUGGAACCCAGUGUCAAUAACGAGGAUCAACACGACCAACUGGAUCCAAUAGGACCAAUAAUUUCACUUCAUCCAUUCCGGGCGUCUCCUUUUUUAGAUGUCCCACAGACAAAAAAAAAAUUCUGUUGUGGCCGAGGAAACAGGUGAUAAUUGUAACAUUAGUACUGAGGUUGUUUCAACUGAGAAUGCAGGGUUUCCAAAUGGUCAGAGUCCUCCACCCCUGAGUCCUAACAUUGGCCUUUCCCCACCGCAUUCUCCAAUCAUGCAAGACUUUUAUUCGGUUGUGAGGGUGAUAUCUGAGUACCAGUCAAAACACUAUUCUAUGCUACUUCCGUCUACUUUCUCUUCGCUUGCGUUUCCUUCGAGGCCUGAUUUCGUUCGCGUUAGAGAGUUACACAAGCCACCAAUCAUCAUGAAGCUUCGAUGGAGGAGCCUCAGGUCAUCAGAAGCCUUUCUUACCAGGGGUUGGAGAAAAUUUUCAGUCGACCAUGGCCUAAAAUGUGGAAGUGUAGUUCAUUUCUGCGUCCCUAUUAAUGAUGAAACUACUAUAAUUGUUUCUAUAUUACGUAUCUAAGAUGUUUAAUUGGUAAUGGUUUUUAUUUUAGCAAUGCCUCUAGAGUAUGAUGCAGUAUUGGAGUGUCUCAACCAUGUGUAAUAUGGUAUUAAUGUCAUUAGUUGUACUAAGUUCCAUCUAUCUGUAACUUAAAUGAAUUAGAAUGUUUUUGGUUCGACUUAUCAUUAGUUUAUGUUUGAAGCCAAUUGAG
Arachis duranensis is the source of this 1492-nucleotide long non-coding RNA. RefSeq lists it as uncharacterized. The record is from RefSeq and is a predicted model, not a curated record. NCBI's taxonomy places the organism in Eukaryota, Viridiplantae, Streptophyta, Magnoliopsida, Fabales, Fabaceae. The transcript has 4 exons.